Molecule: unclassified non-coding RNA, 318 nt
Filed under: uncultured Sporidiobolales
Lineage: Eukaryota; Fungi; Basidiomycota; Microbotryomycetes; Sporidiobolales
Also listed under: 1 other name
Description: sequence contains ITS2
Rfam family: 5.8S ribosomal RNA (bases 1-52)
Source: RNAcentral
AACGCACCUUGCGCUCUCUGGUAUUCCGGAGAGCAUGCCUGUUUGAGUGUCAUGAACUCUUCAACCCACCAGUUUCUUGUUAGACUGUGUUGGUGUUUGGUUUCUGAACGUUGCUGGUUCCUCGUGAACGCGAGCUCGUUUAAAAUACAUUAGCAUCUCAAUUUCGAAACUUGGAUUGACUCAGCGUAAUAGACUAUUCGCUGAGGACACCUUUCAUUAGGUGGCCACGUUAGAUAACGACCGAUGCUCAUAGCACUCCAUCUAGUCAUUUUUUUAAGAUUAGACCUCAGAUCAGGCAGGAUUACCCGCUGAACUUAA